This 255-nucleotide ribosomal RNA is filed under the name uncultured bacterium. RNAcentral describes it as "partial 16S ribosomal RNA". It matches the Rfam family "Bacterial small subunit ribosomal RNA", at positions 524 to 776 of the family's 1533-position model. The record is from RNAcentral.
UACGUAGGGGGCAAGCGUUGUCCGGAUUUAUUGGGCGUAAAGAGCUCGUAGGUGGUUCGGUAAGUCGGAUGUGAAAUCUCCAGGCUCAACCUGGAGGGGUCAUUCGAUACUGCCGUGACUAGAGGUCGGUAGGGGAGUGUGGAAUUCCUGGUGGAGCGGUGAAAUGCGCAGAUAUCAGGAGGAACACCCGUAACGAAGGCGGCACUCUGGGCCGAUACGUGACACUGAGGAGCGAAAGCGUGGGGAGCGAACAGG